GGGCCUACGGGGGGCUGCAGUGGGGAAUAUUGGACAAUGGGCGCAAGCCUGAUCCAGCCAUGCCGCGUGAGUGAAGAAGGCCUUCGGGUUGUAAAGCUCUUUCGACGGGGACGAUGAUGACGGUACCCGUAUAAGAAGCCCCGGCUAACUUCGUGCCAGCAGCCGCGGUAAUACGAAGGGGGCUAGCGUUGUUCGGAAUUACUGGGCGUAAAGCGAACGUAGGCGGUGUUCCAUGUCAGAGGUGAAAGCCUGGGGCUCAACUCCAGAAUUGCCUUUGAAACGGGAACGCUUGAGUCCGAGAGAGGAUGGCGGAAUUCCUAGUGUAGAGGUGAAAUUCGUAGAUAUUAGGAAGAACACCGGUGGCGAAGGCGGCCAUCUGGCUCGGUACUGACGCUCAGGUUCGAAAGCGUGGGGAGCAAACAGGAUUAGAUACCCGAGUAGUCAC
Molecule: ribosomal RNA, 445 nt
Filed under: uncultured Rhodospirillaceae bacterium
Lineage: Bacteria; Pseudomonadati; Pseudomonadota; Alphaproteobacteria; Rhodospirillales; Rhodospirillaceae
Description: bacterial SSU rRNA
Rfam family: Bacterial small subunit ribosomal RNA
Source: RNAcentral